UACGUAGGGGGCAAGCGUUGUCCGGAUUUAUUGGGCGUAAAGAGCGUGUAGGCGGUCAGGUAGGUCCGUUGUGAAAACUCGAGGCUCAACCCCGGGACUGCGUCCGAUACUUCCGAGCUGGAGGUAGGUAGGGGAGAUCGGAAUUCCUGGUGUAGCGGUGAAAUGCGCAGAUAUCAGGAGGAACACCGGUGGCGAAGGCGGAUCUCUGGGCCUUACCUGACGCUGAGGCGCGAAAGCUAGGGGAGCGAACAGG
This 253-nucleotide ribosomal RNA is filed under the name uncultured bacterium. RNAcentral describes it as "partial 16S ribosomal RNA". It matches the Rfam family "Bacterial small subunit ribosomal RNA", at positions 524 to 776 of the family's 1533-position model. The record is from RNAcentral.